CCUACGGGAGGCAGCAGUGGGGAAUAUUGCGCAAUGGGGGAAACCCUGAUGCAGCAACGCCGCGUGAGUGAAGAAGUAUCUCGGUAUGUAAAGCUCUAUCAGCAGGGAAGAAAAUGGCGAUGCCUGCCUAAGCAUCCCCGGCUAACUACGUGACAGCAGCCGCGGUAAUACGUAGGGGGCAAGCGUUAUCCGGAUUUACUGGGUGUAAAGGGAGCGUAGACGGGGUGGCAAGUCUGAAGUGAAAACCCGGGGCUCAACCCCGGGACUGCUUUGGAAAGUGGAAUGCUGGAGUGCUGGAGAGGUAAGCGGAAUUCCUAGUGUAGCGGUGAAAUGCGUAGAUAUUAGGAGGAACACCAGUGGCGAAGGCGGCUUACUGGACAGUAACUGACGUUGAGGCUCGAAAGCGUGGGGAGCAAACAGGAUUAGAUACCCGAGUAGUC
Molecule: ribosomal RNA, 440 nt
Filed under: uncultured bacterium
Lineage: Bacteria
Description: partial 16S ribosomal RNA
Rfam family: Bacterial small subunit ribosomal RNA
Source: RNAcentral